GAUGAACGCUGGCGGCGUGCCUAAUACAUGCAAGUCGAGCGAACAGAUGAGGAGCUUGCUCCUCUGACGUUAGCGGCGGACGGGUGAGUAACACGUGGAUAACCUACCUAUAAGACUGGGAUAACUUCGGGAAACCGGAGCUAAUACCGGAUAAUAUAUUGAACCGCAUGGUUCAAUAGUGAAAUACGGUUUUGCUGUCACUUAUAGAUGGAUCCGCGCCGCAUUAGCUAGUUGGUAAGGUAACGGCUUACCAAGGCGACGAUGCGUAGCCGACCUGAGAGGGUGAUCGGCCACACUGGAACUGAGACACGGACCAGACUACUACGGGAGGCAGCAGUAGGGAAUCUUACGCAAUGGGCGAAAGCCUGACGGAGCAACGCCGCGUGAGUGAUGAAGGUCUUCGGAUCGUAAAACUCUGUUAUUAGGGAAGAACAAAUGUGUAAGUAAAUAUGCACGUCUUGACGGUAACUAAUCAGAAAGCCACGGCUAACUACGUG
RNAcentral lists this ribosomal RNA (497 nucleotides) under uncultured bacterium. RNAcentral's name for it is "partial 16S ribosomal RNA". It matches the Rfam family "Bacterial small subunit ribosomal RNA", at positions 28 to 507 of the family's 1533-position model. The record is from RNAcentral.